UCCCUGGUGGUCCAGUGGUUAGGACUCGGCACUCUCACUGCCAAGGGCCCGGGUUCCAUGAUCCCUGGCCAGGGAA
Molecule: non-coding RNA, 76 nt
Organism: Lipotes vexillifer (Yangtze River dolphin)
Lineage: Eukaryota; Metazoa; Chordata; Mammalia; Artiodactyla; Lipotidae
Source: the annotation of a RefSeq genome assembly